AACGCUGGCGGCGUGCCUAAUACAUGCAAGUCGAACGAGCUUCCGUUGAAUGACGUGCCCUGACUGAUUAUGCAUUCCAGUGAGUGGCGAACUGGUUAGUAACACGUAGGGAACCUGCCCAGAAGCAGGGGAUAACACUUGGAAACAGAUGCUAAUACCGCAUACCAACAAAAGCCGCAUGGCUUUUGUUUGAAAGAUGGCUUUGGCUAUCACUUUUGGAUGAUCCUGCGGUGCAUUAGUUAGUUGGUAAGGUAACGGCUUACCAAGACGAUGAUGCAUAGCCGACCUGAGAGGCUGAUCGGCCACAAUGGGACUGAGACACGGUCCAUACUCCUACGGGAGGCAGCAGUAGGGAAUCUUCCACAAUGGGCGCAAGCCUGAUGGAGCAAUGCCGCGUGAGUGAAGAAGGGUUUCGGCUCGUAAAGCUCUGUUGUUGGAGAAGAACGGGUUUGAGAGUAACUGUUCAAGGGUUGACGGUAUUUAACCAGAAAGUCACGGCUAACUA
Molecule: ribosomal RNA, 505 nt
Filed under: Lentilactobacillus buchneri
Lineage: Bacteria; Bacillati; Bacillota; Bacilli; Lactobacillales; Lactobacillaceae
Description: bacterial SSU rRNA
Rfam family: Bacterial small subunit ribosomal RNA
Source: RNAcentral